Molecule: small nucleolar RNA, 76 nt
Organism: Schistocerca gregaria
Lineage: Eukaryota; Metazoa; Arthropoda; Insecta; Orthoptera; Acrididae
Product: small nucleolar RNA SNORD113/SNORD114 family
Exons: 1
Source: RefSeq, a predicted model, not a curated record
CGGAGAAUUGAUGAGUAUUGAGAGAAGCGUAUGAGAAUUCUGUAAUGAAUAAAAAGUCUGUAUUCCUGAUUUCAGA